Molecule: ribosomal RNA, 253 nt
Filed under: uncultured bacterium
Lineage: Bacteria
Description: partial 16S ribosomal RNA
Rfam family: Bacterial small subunit ribosomal RNA
Source: RNAcentral
UACGAAGGGUGCAAGCGUUACUCGGAAUUACUGGGCGUAAAGGGCGCGUAGGUGGCGGUCCAAGUCAACGGUGAAAGCUCGGGGCUCAACCCCGAGUCGGCCGUCGAUACUGGGUUGCUUGAGCACUGUAGAGGCAGAUGGAAUUCCGGGUGUAGCGGUGGAAUGCGUAGAGAUCCGGAAGAACACCGGUGGCGAAGGCGGUCUGCUGGGCAGUAGCUGACACUGAGGCGCGACAGCGUGGGGAGCAAACCGG